UACGUAGGGUGCGAGCGUUGUCCGGAAUUAUUGGGCGUAAAGAGCUCGUAGGCGGUUUGUUGCGUCUAUCGUGAAAACCUGCAGCUUAACUGUGGGCUUGCGGUGGAUACGGGCAGACUUGAGUUCGGUAGGGGAGACUGGAAUUCCUGGUGUAGCGGUGAAAUGCGCAGAUAUCAGGAGGAACACCGGUGGCGAAGGCAGGUCUCUGGGCUGACACUGGCGCUCAUGCACGAAAGCGUGGGGAGCAAACAGG
This 253-nucleotide ribosomal RNA is filed under the name uncultured bacterium. RNAcentral describes it as "partial 16S ribosomal RNA". It matches the Rfam family "Bacterial small subunit ribosomal RNA", at positions 524 to 776 of the family's 1533-position model. The record is from RNAcentral.